GGCGAACCGUCCUAACGUUGUUCGGAAUCACUGGGCGUAAAGGGCGCGUAGGCGGCUUUAUAAGUCGGGGGUGAAAGCCUGUGGCUCAACCACAGAAUUGCCUUCGAUACUGUAGAGCUUGAGACCGGAAGAGGUAAGUGGAACUGCGAGUGUAGAGGUGAAAUUCGUAGAUAUUCGGAAGAACACCAGUGGCGAAGGCGACUUACUGGACACAUAUUGACGCUGAGGUGCGAAAGCGUGGGGAGCAAACAGG
Molecule: ribosomal RNA, 253 nt
Filed under: uncultured bacterium
Lineage: Bacteria
Description: partial 16S ribosomal RNA
Rfam family: Bacterial small subunit ribosomal RNA
Source: RNAcentral